GCAGCAGCCACGGUAAUACAGAGGGUGCGAGCGUUAAUCGGAUUUACUGGGCGUAAAGCGUGCGUAGGCGGCUUUUUAAGUCGGAUGUGAAAUCCCUGAGCUUAACUUAGGAAUUGCAUUCGAUACUGGGAAGCUAGAGUAUGGGAGAGGAUGGUAGAAUUCCAGGUGUAGCGGUGAAAUGCGUAGAGAUCUGGAGGAAUACCGAUGGCGAAGGCAGCCAUCUGGCCUAAUACUGACGCUGAGGUACGAAAGCAUGGGGAGCAAACAGGAUUAGAUACCCGAGUAGUCCCUGUCUCUUAUAC
Molecule: ribosomal RNA, 302 nt
Filed under: uncultured bacterium
Lineage: Bacteria
Description: partial 16S ribosomal RNA
Rfam family: Bacterial small subunit ribosomal RNA
Source: RNAcentral